Molecule: ribosomal RNA, 405 nt
Filed under: uncultured bacterium
Lineage: Bacteria
Description: partial 16S ribosomal RNA
Rfam family: Bacterial small subunit ribosomal RNA
Source: RNAcentral
AUUGAACGCUGGCGGCAGGCCUAACACAUGCAAGUCGAGCGAGCGGCGGACGGGUGAGUAAUGUAUGGGGCUCUGCCCGAUAGCGGGGGAUAACUACUGGAAACAGUGGCUAAUACCGCAUACUUUCGGAGGAACCAAUAUGGGAUUAGCUAGUAGGUGGGGUAAAGGCUCACCAAGCGACGAUCGCUAGCGGGUCUGAGAGGCUGACCAGCCACACUGGGACUGAGACACGGCCCAGACUCCUACGGGAGGCAGCAGUGGGGAAUAUUGCGCAAUGGGGGAAACCCUGACGCAGCCAUGCCGCGUGAAUGAAGAAGGCCUUCGGGUUGUAAAGUUCUUUCGGUAGCGAGGCGUUAACUACAGAAGAAGCACCGGCUAACUACGUGCCAGCCGCCGCGGUAAUAC